ACUUUUAAAGGAAACUAGAAACCC
This 24-nucleotide transfer RNA is filed under the name Rhineura floridana. Its description in RNAcentral is "partial tRNA-Leu". Lineage: Eukaryota; Metazoa; Chordata; Lepidosauria; Squamata; Rhineuridae. The record is from RNAcentral.